ACGGGAGGCAGCAGUGAGGAAUAUUGGUCAAUGGGCGCGGGCCUGAACCAGCCAAGUAGCGUGCAGGAUGACGGCCCUCCGGGUUGUAAACUGCUUUUAGUUGGGAAUAAAAGAGCGUACGUGUACGCUGUAUUGUAUGUACCAUCAGAAAAAGGACCGGCUAAUUCCGUGCCAGCAGCCGCGGUAAUACGGAAGGUCCGGGCGUUAUCCGGAUUUAUUGGGUUUAAAGGGAGCGUAGGCGGGUUUUUAAGUCAGUGGUAAAAUCGUGCGGCUCAACCGUACCUCGCCAUUGAAACUGGAAGCCUUGAGUGCACACAGGGAUGCUGGAAUUCGUCGUGUAGCGGUGAAAUGCUUAGAUAUGACGAAGAACUCCGAUCGCGAAGGCAGGUGUCCGGGGUGUAACUGACGCUGAGGCUCGAAAGUGCGGGUAUCAAACAGGAUUAGAUACCCUGGUA
RNAcentral lists this ribosomal RNA (455 nucleotides) under uncultured Alloprevotella sp. RNAcentral's name for it is "bacterial SSU rRNA". It matches the Rfam family "Bacterial small subunit ribosomal RNA", at positions 341 to 792 of the family's 1533-position model. Lineage: Bacteria; Pseudomonadati; Bacteroidota; Bacteroidia; Bacteroidales; Prevotellaceae. The record is from RNAcentral.